Microtus oregoni (creeping vole) is the source of this 739-nucleotide long non-coding RNA. RefSeq lists it as uncharacterized. The record is from RefSeq and is a predicted model, not a curated record. The transcript has 3 exons. Lineage: Eukaryota; Metazoa; Chordata; Mammalia; Rodentia; Cricetidae.
GCGCAUGCGUUAAGUUACACAGGCAUUUGAUCCCUGUUCUGGCCCCUUAUUACAUACAGAACGCAAUGGGAGUUGCACCAGCAGGACACUUUACCAUCUCAUCUAGAAAGGUUGGUGAUCAGUGUUUGAUGACAGUAACAGAAAAUCAAAGUAGGACUUGUUCAUCUGAACUAGGACAUAGUGCACUACGGCUCUCCUGGUAAACACUGUACCCGUGAGCAUUAUAGCCUCAGCCUACAGACGCUUCUAUUAAUUGUCACUUUCCUCUUUCUUGGUUAUGCAGGGGAGUAAAACAUCUUCCCUCAUGAAUAGCACAGUUCCUGGCUGUGGGCUUCCUGAUAACAGACUGAGAAAUGAUGAUAAGAGAAAGGCUGGUAUACAGCUAGUAUGUUUUAUACGACACAAGAGACUUCAUGUUGAAAUGAAGACCCGAAGAAACUGUAUUUCUAUGUAGAGUUUUGGAAGAGUGGGCAGAGAUUCCAUGAUCGUGCAGUGAUUCACUGGUAGACGUAAACCAAGCCUGCUUGCCCUGGUGCUUCUCUGCUCCUGUGUCACUGGCUCUCCUCCGGAUCCGAGAGGCACCUCUCACCUGUGAAGUCAGGCUCUACUUCCAGCAAGGAUUGGCUGCUCUUGCUUGCUUUGGGGAGAAGGCAACAGUGACCAUCCUGUUGCUAUUGCUUCCUCAAAUGCCCAUGUGCCAGGGUCCUCAUUUCCCUGAAGAGUCCCAUGUCACAUUAAA